UGUUAUCGUUAUCUGUUGUUAAUGUGUCCAUUGAUGCUUUUCCACUAUGCUUUUUUGUUUUUUCAUUUUAAACAAUACUUUCCAUAAAACAAUUGCCUUGCACAGUCCCACAGUCAGUUUCUCUGGAAUCAGUCAGAUCAUUACUAGCAGUUGGGUUGUUGGGUCCUAUGGCCUGUCUUUAAAAUAUAAAUUACAGACUGAUGCAUCCUAGUAUAUAUAAUUUCCCAAAUAUUUCUUUACAAAGACCAGUUAUUUUGAAAGAAGCAAUAUUUACAACAGUUACCCAAAAGUCUCAUCCACUAGUCAUUCAAAGCAGCCAUACUUGCCCACUUUGCAAAUCUUUGUGGCUGUGUUAGGACGACUCAGAACUCAGAAACCCCUUUGCCCUUGGUAUAUGCUGUUCCUAGGAUAAACUUUUAGAGUCAAGUCGCAUGAGUGCAUUAUGAUACAACUGUCACUACCACUGGUCCAUUUUUAGCUACAGGUUCCCAAAAAUAAAGAUUCUACAGCCUAUGUGCCCUUAUUUCAAAUCCCAGCCGAAAGACACAGGAACAACACAGCUUUAACUUUUUCAUAACAGAGAAUCUUCUUUUUAGCAAGAAACAGGAGAAAUGGGAAAUGAAACAGCAGAAAGCAUUUCUUCAUUACACACAUAAAAUGGUGGCUUUUGGGGAAAAAUUGUUGGCUCAGCUGUGUGACACGAUGGGGUGCUUGGAGCUUUACGUAUCCUGGCAGGUAACUCUUUCAAAGGUGUUGAAAGUACUUAUGUACAUUCAACUAAUGAAACUUAACUCCUGCCACAGUCAAGACCUAAGAAGGUUUACUCGCAAAUAUUUUUUUAAUCUCGACCAAUGAGUUCUACUUUGUAAUGAUCUCACCUCUCAGCUUCUUCUUCUCUGGACUGGACAACCCCAGUGUCCUCAGCCUCUCUUCCUCUCCAGUGCUGCCACCAGCUUUGUCACAGUCCUCUGGACACUUCCAAGUCCUUUAAUGUUCUUUCAGAAUUUUGGAGCCCAGAAUUGCACUAGGUAUUGGAGCUGAUACGGUAUCCAUGUUGUCUGUAAUGUAGCCCUAGAUGCUGCUGGGGCUCCUGGCCACCAGGGCACGUGGCUGGCUCACGCUGAGCCUGCUGCCACCAGCACUGCCAGGCCCCUUUCUGCAGGGCUGCUCCCCAGCUGCUCAUCUUUAGCUGUGUCCAUCACUACUUCAGCCCAUGUUAAUUCUUAAAUUACUGAGGCAAAAUCCUUUAUAUUUGAAAAUCACCAGUUGUUUCCUUCAGUUAAAAUGUUUGAUGCUGUAUUAUGUGACAUUUAUUUUAUUUGAAAUGAUCUUCAAUGUACUGAAUAAACGUCAUUGUAAGCAUCUAUUACCAGUGCAAAUAUUUAAACAAACAAGAACUUUCUCUUCUCACAAAACAACGGGUUCCAAGAACUCCCAUCUUUCCCAAAUCACACUUCCGAUGAUUGAAACUAUCUAAUUUGGACAAAAGAGCAAUAGAAAAUUAACUUAAGAACACAUUCGGUUUAACAUAUGUUUGCAAUAAAACUUCUGUUUUAGAUGAUUUAAUCAGAACUGUUUUCCAUACUUAAUGGAAACUGGCACACUAGCAUUAUCAUUGCAACCACUAAAGUAAGGGAGGGAAUGGAAGGAUUGGGAGUGGAAGGAAAGCAAGAAUUUUAAUAUUCUCUAGUUUAACAGUACCAGGAGAAAUAAAAUCCCUGUUCUCAGCUCCAGUCACACACCUUGGUGUGAUCACCAAUACAUUUUCACAAGGGGAGACUUGCAAUUAUGUUUUCUUUAACUUGUUUCAUUCUUACUGUGUUCCCAAAGUCUAGCUUACAGUGUUCUACAUAUCUCCUAGUGACAGCACACAGGGCAAAGAGAAAUCAAGGGCUGUCACUGGCUUUGUUUUUCUUCCACAGGAUUUUCCAAUUAGCAGCCUUAGUUACUGAAUGUGUUCCUCAGAAAUUCUUCCAAACAUCAUGGAAGGAAGGCUGAUGGAGCAUCAUGGCGCAGCAACCACCAAUGGUGACACUGAGCAGAAAUUUCUAGGAUGAAAAUUCAUUUAUUUUGAUAUCUUCUGAUGUCACCAGGGAAGGUUUCUCCUUCUAUCCCUUAGCUCUGGAUCCCCGCUCCAACCUGCAAGCUCUUUGUUCACUAAGACAAUGACUGUAAAAGCUUGCCAGGCAUAGUUUUUUUUUACACAUAAGCUUUAUUCUAAUGCUUCAUAUCAUCUAUUCCUGCUCCAGUUUCAUUAUCUUCCAAGUUCAUCACCUUGUCUUAAGACCUUUGCAGUGUUUCAGCAAUUCAUUGGGUAGCAGAUUGAGAGCUGGGAAAAAUCAGACUUGCUUAUCAGUAAGAACAAAUCCUGCAUGCUCUCCUUGCUGCUGGCCUCUAGAGAGAAGAGGAAUUAUACUAGAAUUUAAGUGAUGGAGAGCACUGAUAAGAUUAAAUCUUUUCCAGAAGGAGGACACUCAGGAGAAAAAUGCUUACAAG
Long non-coding RNA from Tympanuchus pallidicinctus (lesser prairie-chicken), 2496 nucleotides. RefSeq lists it as uncharacterized. The record is from RefSeq and is a predicted model, not a curated record. The transcript is spliced from 5 exons. NCBI's taxonomy places the organism in Eukaryota, Metazoa, Chordata, Aves, Galliformes, Phasianidae.